GGAGAUGGAUGAGUCACUGGUGGGCUCCCCGGGCUUCAAACCCGUGCGCGAGGCAUUAACACUGUCUUGGGUGGGUUCGAUUCCCACACAUCUCCGCCA
RNAcentral lists this transfer RNA (99 nucleotides) under Deltaproteobacteria bacterium. RNAcentral's name for it is "tRNA-Sec". It matches the Rfam family "Selenocysteine transfer RNA". Lineage: Bacteria; Pseudomonadati; Myxococcota; Myxococcia. The record is from RNAcentral.